Molecule: small RNA, 540 nt
Filed under: Colletotrichum nymphaeae
Lineage: Eukaryota; Fungi; Ascomycota; Sordariomycetes; Glomerellales; Glomerellaceae
Description: eukaryotic LSU rRNA
Rfam family: 5.8S ribosomal RNA (bases 194-347)
Source: RNAcentral
AGGGAUCAUUACUGAGUUACCGCUCUAUAACCCUUUGUGAACAUACCUAACCGUUGCUUCGGCGGGCAGGGGAAGCCUCUCGCGGGCCUCCCCUCCCGGCGCCGGCCCCCACCACGGGGACGGGGCGCCCGCCGGAGGAAACCAAACUCUAUUUACACGACGUCUCUUCUGAGUGGCACAAGCAAAUAAUUAAAACUUUUAACAACGGAUCUCUUGGUUCUGGCAUCGAUGAAGAACGCAGCGAAAUGCGAUAAGUAAUGUGAAUUGCAGAAUUCAGUGAAUCAUCGAAUCUUUGAACGCACAUUGCGCUCGCCAGCAUUCUGGCGAGCAUGCCUGUUCGAGCGUCAUUUCAACCCUCAAGCACCGCUUGGUUUUGGGGCCCCACGGCACACGUGGGCCCUUAAAGGUAGUGGCGGACCCUCCCGGAGCCUCCUUUGCGUAGUAACUAACGUCUCGCACUGGGAUUCGGAGGGACUCUUGCCGUAAAACCCCCAAAUUUUUUACAGGUUGACCUCGGAUCAGGUAGGAAUACCCGCUGAA